GAUGAACGCGUAGGCGACAGGCCUAACACAUGCAAGUCGAGGGGCAGGCACGAGAAGGGUAGCUUGCUACUUUGGGUGGCGACCGGCGCACGGGUGCGUAACAGGUGUGCAAUCUGUCCAUAAUCGGGGAAUAGCCCAGCGAAGGUUGGAUUAAUGCUCCAUGUGAGUAAGAGAGGCAUCUCUUUUAUUUGAAACGUAUGGAUUAUGGGUGAGCACGCUUCUGAUUAGGUAGUUGGUGAGGUAACGGCUCACAAGCCGACGAUCAGCAGGGGUUCUGAGAGGAAGGUCCCCCACAUUGGAACUGAGACACGGUCCAA
This 317-nucleotide ribosomal RNA is filed under the name uncultured bacterium. RNAcentral describes it as "bacterial SSU rRNA". It matches the Rfam family "Bacterial small subunit ribosomal RNA", at positions 34 to 334 of the family's 1533-position model. The record is from RNAcentral.